RNAcentral lists this ribosomal RNA (500 nucleotides) under uncultured bacterium. Its description in RNAcentral is "partial 16S ribosomal RNA". It matches the Rfam family "Bacterial small subunit ribosomal RNA", at positions 30 to 523 of the family's 1533-position model. The record is from RNAcentral.
AUUGAACGCUGGCGGCAGGCCUAACACAUGCAAGUCGAGCGGUAGAGAGAAGCUUGCUUCUCUUGAGAGCGGCGGACGGGUGAGGAAUGCCUAGGAAUCUGCCUGGUAGAGGGGGAUAACGUUCGGAAACGGACGCUAAUACCGCAUACGUCCUACGGGAGAAAGCAGGGGACCUUCGGGCCUUGCGCUAUCAGAUGAGCCUAGGUCGGAUUAGCGAGUUGGUGGGGUAAUGGCUCACCAAGGCGACGAUCCGUAACUGGUCUGAGAGGAUGAUCAGUCACACUGGAACUGAGACACGGUCCAGACUCCUACGGGAGGCAGCAGUGGGGAAUAUUGGACAAUGGGCGAAAGCCUGAUCCAGCCAUGCCGCGUGUGUGAAGAAGGUCUUCGGAUUGUAAAGCACUUUAAGUUGGGAGGAAGGGCAGUAAAUUAAUACUUUGCUGUUUUGACGUUACCGACAGAAUAAGCACCGGCUAACUCUGUGCCAGCCGCCGCGGUAA